GACGAACGCUGGCGGCGUGCUUAACACAUGCAAGUCGAGCGGAAAGGCCACUUCGGUGGUACUCGAGCGGCGAACGGGUGAGUAACACGUGAGUAAUCUGCCCCUGGCUUUGGGAUAGCCACCGGAAACGGUGAUUAAUACCGGAUAUGACACAUUCUCGCAUGAGUUUUUGUGGAAAGUUUUUCGGCCAGGGAUGUGCUCGCGGCCUAUCAGCUUGAUGGUGAGGUAAUGGCUCACCAUGGCUUCGACGGGUAGCCGGCCUGAGAGGGUGACCGGUCACACUGGGACUGAGACACGGCCCAGACUCCUACGGGAGGCAGCAGUGGGGAAUAUUGGACAAUGGGCGGAAGCCUGAUCCAGCAACGCCGCGUGAGGGAUGACGGCCUUCGGGUUGUAAACCUCUUUCAGUACCGACGAAGCGCAAGUGACGGUAGGUACAGAAGAAGCACCGGCCAACUACGUG
Molecule: ribosomal RNA, 463 nt
Filed under: uncultured bacterium
Lineage: Bacteria
Description: partial 16S ribosomal RNA
Rfam family: Bacterial small subunit ribosomal RNA
Source: RNAcentral